This is a non-coding RNA of Pelodiscus sinensis (Chinese soft-shelled turtle), 445 nucleotides long. Lineage: Eukaryota; Metazoa; Chordata; Testudines; Trionychidae. The record is from RefSeq and is a predicted model, not a curated record.
CUCUCUAUCUUGGGGUGUUUUUUCUCCAGCGACGUUGAGUUCCCAGCCAACCUUCAGCCAUGAAGAUUCUCUACCUUCUCUUUGCAGUCUUCCUUCUGGUGCUGCAAAGCUCCCCAGGAUGCAGUAGGUUAAUCCAUCUGGACCGUGUUUGUGAGCUUAGAGGUGGUUCCUGCUUCCGUCGAUGUUACUCCCCUUAUUCAUGGAUUGCACCUUGCAGUGGUGGAAGGAGCUGCUGUGAAUCGAGGAAGAUCAGAGAGUGAGCGAUGUCAGCAGAGAGUAUUAAUGCAGGAUCUCUGGGAAUCUGGCAGAGCACGCCUGGCUUCUAAAGUCAUUGGACGCUUUUCUUCUAGACGGCAAAGAAUCUUGCAAGAGAGCCCUUGUGUCACCUCUAAUAGCUUCUUCUUCUCCUUUUAAUAAAAGUAGCUGGUUGUAGUGCAGUAUCGCA